ACGCUCGACACCUACGGGGGCAGCAGUGGGGAAUAUUGCACAAUGGGGGAAACCCUGAUGCAGCGACGCCGCGUGGAGGAAGAAGGUCUUCGGAUUGUAAACUCCUGUUGUUGGGGAAAAGGAGGAUGGUACCCAACAAGGAAGUGACGGCUAACUACGUGCCAGCAGCCGCGGUAAUCUGAGCGGGCUGGCAAGGC
RNAcentral lists this ribosomal RNA (197 nucleotides) under uncultured bacterium. RNAcentral's name for it is "partial 16S ribosomal RNA". It matches the Rfam family "Bacterial small subunit ribosomal RNA", at positions 328 to 539 of the family's 1533-position model. The record is from RNAcentral.